RNAcentral lists this long non-coding RNA (1318 nucleotides) under Zea mays. Its description in RNAcentral is "long non-coding RNA (ZMAY_LNC005763)". Lineage: Eukaryota; Viridiplantae; Streptophyta; Magnoliopsida; Poales; Poaceae. The record is from RNAcentral.
UCCCCCAUCUCCAUGACCUUCGCUGCGCAACCCCGACCGUGUGGGGAGCUAUUCGGGAGUAAGCGGGUCGACGACGUAGGGACGUUGUGGACGUCGACUUCAGCCGUACCUACAGACUCCGCGUGUGGCCGUGGAGCGUCGCCGUCAAUCAGGGAAGGCGCGAGCACCAUCUGCGGCUGGAGUUCUGACUGAAUUCUCGGACGAAUUCCUUGUCGGAGUGCGUUACCGCCGUGGGAUCCACAUCGCCGUAGGCACCGCUUCCGAAGUCGCAUCCGCCUCCGGUAAGCUGUUGAUCGUGUCCGCCCAACUCCUAUAAUCAUGUAUCCUCGUUCGGUUAGGGGAUUAGAGUAAUGGUUUGCGGAAUCUGCUGUCACCGGCGGGGUUUCGUCGCCGCGGCACCAUCGUUCACUCUGCUGGCGGGCUAUCGGAGGAAGAAGGGUCCGAGGCCAUGGAUUUCACGAUCACCGGCCACGAUUAGAUGAAGUGUUGCGCGUGUGGUAGCCGUGGGAUCGUAGAUGGGCGGUAAAGAUUUAAUCGCGCGUACCCCCCUAGGCGAUUCAAUCUGGACCGUAGAGUUGAUCGGACGGUUUGUGGUAAGUAGGGCCUCAAAAAAAUCUGAACCCUGGAAUUCCGAUCCAAUGGUGGCUAGCGCAUACCGAUUCAUAAGCGACAGGAUCUAAUCUCAGCCGCAAGACUUAGAUCUAACGGCUCCUAAUACCCGAUACCCCUUCAACCCAGACAUUUUGCUUAAGAGCCCCCGUAGUUUUACGAAAUAAACCUGCAGUACAUCUCGGUGUAGCCUGAGUCUUGAGAAUAUUUCGAAUUAGCCCCUGCACUUCUCUGAAAUUGUGCCCGCAGUUCAGAACUCGAUGAAAACUGAACAAAUAAAUACAGAAAAUACUUUCUAGUAUAAAAUUAAAUCUAGAACUUGUUUAAUCCCUAGAAAAUUCAUCUUAGCUCCUUUUUACUCCAUUCCAGUUGCAAUAAUUUUGUAUUAACAUUGUUCAUCACUUAGUAACUCUGUUUAGCCAUGAAACUUAGAUUAAAAUUAUUCACUUGAGUCAUUCCAUACCAAGCACUUAAUAACUUCGGAAAUUCAUAACACGAUAACCGUAACUCCGAAUUUAGUGAUUCUUGUUCCUACAAUCUCAUUACGACGUGUCGAAUAUUAUCAUGCAUUAUGUUUUGCUGUUUGGUGUGAUGUUAAUUUCUGCUAUACCAUGUUUGUUUGUAUUGUUGCGUUGCGAGUAGACGAGCAAGCCACUGAUGACCCAGGUGUUUAGCAGGUGGAGACUGCUGAGCAGGAGCUCGUUGAAGG